CUGGAGACAGGUGCUGCAUGGCUGUCGUCAGCUCGUGUCGUGAGAUGUGGGUUAAGUCCCGCAACGAGCGCAACCCUUGCCUUUAGUUGCCAGCAGUUCGGCUGGGCACUCUAAAGGGACUGCCGGGUGUUAAACCGGAGGAAGGUGGGGAUGACGUCAAGUCCUCAUGGCCUUUAUGACCAGGGCUACACACGUACUACAAUGGCCGAUACAAAGGGCAGCGACACUGCGAGGUGAAGCCAAUCCCGUAAAAUCGGUCUCAGUCCGGAUUGGAGUCUGCAACUCGACUCCAUGAAGUUGGAAUCGCUAGUAAUCGUGGAUCAGCAUGCCACGGUGAAUACGUUCCCGGGCCUU
Molecule: ribosomal RNA, 354 nt
Filed under: uncultured Desulfobulbus sp.
Lineage: Bacteria; Pseudomonadati; Thermodesulfobacteriota; Desulfobulbia; Desulfobulbales; Desulfobulbaceae
Description: bacterial SSU rRNA
Rfam family: Bacterial small subunit ribosomal RNA
Source: RNAcentral